RNAcentral lists this ribosomal RNA (274 nucleotides) under Vibrio parahaemolyticus. RNAcentral's name for it is "partial 16S ribosomal RNA". It matches the Rfam family "Bacterial small subunit ribosomal RNA", at positions 1262 to 1533 of the family's 1533-position model. The record is from RNAcentral. Lineage: Bacteria; Pseudomonadati; Pseudomonadota; Gammaproteobacteria; Vibrionales; Vibrionaceae.
AGUGAGCGAAUCCCAAAAAGUGCGUCGUAGUCCGGAUUGGAGUCUGCAACUCGACUCCAUGAAGUCGGAAUCGCUAGUAAUCGUGGAUCAGAAUGCCACGGUGAAUACGUUCCCGGGCCUUGUACACACCGCCCGUCACACCAUGGGAGUGGGCUGCAAAAGAAGUAGGUAGUUUAACCUUUCGGGGAGGACGCUUACCACUUUGUGGUUCAUGACUGGGGUGAAGUCGUAACAAGGUAGCGCUAGGGGAACCUGGCGCUGGAUCACCUCCUUA